CAGAAGAAUCACCUUCUUCUCCAGAACACCAACAUCCAGUCCAUCCACCUACAGAGGCUCACCUCUUCUAUUUGGACCAGACUCCACUGAAGCGAAAAGUCUACUGCACUGACACAGAAUUGUAUAUCAAAAUUUUUCAGAUGAAUGAAAAGAACACAACAUACGUAUAUUUGAAACAUCUUCCUUCCAAAAAGGCCAUGCCAAAAGAAAAGAUAAAAGGGCCACCAAUUUACUCAGAAGUGAAAAAUACUACUUCAAACUCCAAUCAGACAAAGAUAACAAGAAAUAAAUCAUC
Artibeus jamaicensis (Jamaican fruit-eating bat) is the source of this 295-nucleotide long non-coding RNA. RefSeq lists it as uncharacterized. The record is from RefSeq and is a predicted model, not a curated record. The transcript has 3 exons. NCBI's taxonomy places the organism in Eukaryota, Metazoa, Chordata, Mammalia, Chiroptera, Phyllostomidae.